RNAcentral lists this ribosomal RNA (465 nucleotides) under uncultured bacterium. Its description in RNAcentral is "partial 16S ribosomal RNA". It matches the Rfam family "Bacterial small subunit ribosomal RNA", at positions 28 to 507 of the family's 1533-position model. The record is from RNAcentral.
GACGAACGCUGGCGGUGUGCUUAACACAUGCAAGUCGAACGGUAAGGCCCUUUCGGGGGUACACGAGUGGCGAACGGGUGAGUAACACGUGAGUAACCUGCCCUCAUCUCUGGGAUAACAGUCGGAAACGGUUGCUAAUACUGGAUAUGAGCCUGCAAGGCAUCUUGUGGGUUGGAAAGAUUUUUUGGUUGGGGAUGGACUCGCGGCCUAUCAGCUUGUUGGUGAGGUAGUGGCUCACCAAGGCUUCGACGGGUAGCCGGCCUGAGAGGGCGACCGGCCACAGUGGGACUGAGAUACGGCCCAAACUCCUACGGGAGGCAGCAGUGGGGAAUAUUGCACAAUGGACGGAAGUCUGAUGCAGCAACGCCGCGUGCGGGAUGACGGCCUUCGGGUUGUAAACCGCUUUCAAUUGUGACGAAGCUUUUUGUGACGGUAGCAGUAGAAGAAGCACCGGCUAACUACGUG